GUUAGAGGGUUUCCGCCCUUUAGUGCUGAAGUUAACGCAUUAAGCACUCCGCCUGGGGAGUACGGCCGCAAGGCUGAAACUCAAAGGAAUUGACGGGGGCCCGCACAAGCGGUGGAGCAUGUGGUUUAAUUCGAAGCAACGCGAAGAACCUUACCAGGUCUUGACAUCCUCUGACAACCCUAGAGAUAGGGCUUCUCCUUCGGGAGCAGAGUGACAGGUGGUGCAUGGUUGUCGUCAGCU
This 240-nucleotide ribosomal RNA is filed under the name Bacillus sp. (in: firmicutes). RNAcentral describes it as "Bacillus sp. (in: Bacteria) partial 16S ribosomal RNA". It matches the Rfam family "Bacterial small subunit ribosomal RNA", at positions 822 to 1060 of the family's 1533-position model. Lineage: Bacteria; Bacillati; Bacillota; Bacilli; Caryophanales; Bacillaceae. The record is from RNAcentral.